ACACAUACACACACACACACACACACACACACACGGGGCUCGGACAUCACACAGUUAUCUGAUGUCCUCUCUUUCUGUACUCUCGGGUCUCUAAGUUUCUCACAAUCUGCAAGUUGAUUGAAAAACUCCCAAUUCUGUAUUCUUAUAUAUGAAGAAGUAAUACUGCAUCUGUAAGCCACACCCUUGUUUCCUCCUGCUUACUUUAUCUUCUCCCAUAUUGUUCUAGGAAGAUGUGUUUGCCUUCUCGGUCUGCCAAGAAAGGAAAAUUGAUCGUUUGACACCUUGGAGAUUUUACCUGAGGGAAGAUAAUUUCUUCAAGCCUCUUGUGCCUGUGAGAGUCAAGCGCUGUUUUGCAGCUGCAGUACUGAUAAUGUAUUCACAUUCUCCCCAGAGCAAUGGAUUCUUUAACCUUAAUAUUGAGACUGGAAUGAGAUUCUGUCCUCUAGAGGUCACCAAUGCACCAGAUUUGAAGGCCAUGGAGGCUUCCAAAAUGCUCAGGAAGAGCCAUGUGUCCUGUUCACGUUUGAAUGAGAGAGAAAAUAAGGAUCCAGCGCUCAGUACCUCUACAGGUGUUCUUAUGGCCCACAGAAAUGCUUCUCCAUGUCUCUUGCCCUAUUACCUUGAAAGGAAAAGUGGCUGCCCUAAAUCCCCAAAUGCUAUGAACAUUGGAGGAUUGUGUCACUGUCAGUGUUGCAUUUGGACACCUCUUUGGAGUAUCAGAAGGAUUUCAGCAGUGGAAGCUCUUAAGAAAGAAUACACAAAUUAUUUUAUCUUGUCAUAUUCUUUCUCUCAGAUAGCAUAAAUGCAAUAAAUUCG
RNAcentral lists this long non-coding RNA (816 nucleotides) under Aotus nancymaae (Ma's night monkey). RNAcentral describes it as "lncRNA (ENSANAG00000039481.1)". The record is from RNAcentral. Lineage: Eukaryota; Metazoa; Chordata; Mammalia; Primates; Aotidae.